CAGAGUGAACGCUGGCGGCGUGCCUAAUACAUGCAAGUCGAACGAUGAAGCUCUAGCUUGCUAGAGUGGAUUAGUGGCGCACGGGUGAGUAAUGCAUAGAUAACAUGCCCUUUAGUCUAGGAUAGCCAUUGGAAACGAUGAUUAAUACUGGAUACUCCUUACGAGGGAAAGUUUUUCGCUAAAGGAUUGGUCUAUGUCCUAUCAGCUUGUUGGUGAGGUAAUGGCUCACCAAGGCUAUGACGGGUAUCCGGCCUGAGAGGGUGAACGGACACACUGGAACUGAGACACGGUCCAGACUCCUACGGGAGGCAGCAGUAGGGAAUAUUGCUCAAUGGGGGAAACCCUGAAGCAGCAACGCCGCGUGGAGGAUGAAGGUUUUCGGAUUGUAAACUCCUUUUGUUAGAGAAGAUAAUGACGGUAUCUAACGAAUAAGCACCGGCUAACUCCGUGCCAGCAGCCGCGGUAAUACGGAGGGUGCAAGCGUUACUCGGAAUCACUGGGCGUAAAGAGCGCGUAGGCGGGAUAGCAAGUCAGAUGUGAAAUCCUAUGGCUUAACCAUAGAACUGCAUUUGAAACUGUUAUUCUAGAGUAUGGGAGAGGUAGGUGGAAUUCUUGGUGUAGGGGUAAAAUCCGUAGAGAUCAAGAGGAAUACUCAUUGCGAAGGCGACCUGCUAGAACAUAACUGACGCUGAUGCGCGAAAGCGUGGGGAGCAAACAGGAUUAGAUACCCUGGUAGUCCACGCCCUAAACGAUGAAUGCUAGUUGUUGUGGAGCUUGUCUCUGCAGUAAUGCAGCUAACGCAUUAAGCAUUCCGCCUGGGGAGUACGGUCGCAAGAUUAAAACUCAAAGGAAUAGACGGGGACCCGCACAAGCGGUGGAGCAUGUGGUUUAAUUCGAAGAUACACGAAGAACCUUACCUAGGCUUGACAUUGAUAGAAUCCGCUAGAGAUAGUGGAGUGCUAGCUUGCUAGAACUUGAAAACAGGUGCUGCACGGCUGUCGUCAGCUCGUGUCGUGAGAUGUUGGGUUAAGUCCCGCAACGAGCGCAACCCUCGUCCUUAGUUGCUAACUAUUCGGUAGAGCACUCUAAGGAGACUGCCUUCGCAAGGAGGAGGAAGGUGAGGAUGACGUCAAGUCAUCAUGGCCCUUACGCCUAGGGCUACACACGUGCUACAAUGGGAAGCACAAAGAGAUGCAAUAUUGUGAAAUGGAGCAAAUCUAUAAAACUUCUCUCAGUUCGGAUUGUAGUCUGCAACUCGACUACAUGAAGCUGGAAUCAAUAGUAAUCGUAAAUCAGCUAUGUUACGGUGAA
RNAcentral lists this ribosomal RNA (1311 nucleotides) under uncultured bacterium. RNAcentral's name for it is "partial 16S ribosomal RNA". It matches the Rfam family "Bacterial small subunit ribosomal RNA", at positions 25 to 1366 of the family's 1533-position model. The record is from RNAcentral.